RNAcentral lists this ribosomal RNA (390 nucleotides) under uncultured bacterium. RNAcentral describes it as "bacterial SSU rRNA". It matches the Rfam family "Bacterial small subunit ribosomal RNA", at positions 28 to 417 of the family's 1533-position model. The record is from RNAcentral.
GACGAACGCUGGCGGCGUGCUUAACACAUGCAAGUCGAGCGGUAAGGCCCUUUCGGGGGUACGACGAGCGGCGAACGGGUGAGUAACACGUGGGUGACCUGCCCUCAGCUCUGGGAUAGGCCUGGGAAACCGGGGUCUAAUACUGGAUAUGACUCCAUGACGCAUGUUGUGGGGUGGAAAGCCUUGUGCGGCUGAGGAUGGGCCCGCGGCCUAUCAGCUUGUUGGUGGGGUGAUGGCCUACCAAGGCGACGACGGGUAGCCGGCCUGAGAGGGCGACCGGCCACACUGGGACUGAGACACGGCCCAGACUCCUACGGGAGGCAGCAGUGGGGAAUCUUGCGCAAUGGGCGAAAGCCUGACGCAGCGACGCCGCGUGAGGGAUGACGGCCU